AACGAACGUGUGAUAAGUGAAGAUCAACCUUCUUACUUUUGGCUAGGCCACUAACACCAUCUAGUGAACUCUUUACAAACUAUGUCAAUAUUUAUUAUAUAAUAGAUAUGAAAUAUAUUACAUACCCUAAGCUUCCAGUCUAAACUUUAAAAAGGUUUUAGUUGAUUUUUAUACCAAUUUGCCUUAAAGCGCUAGCUGUCAUAUCAAACAGUGAGAAUCGGGCGGACUCAGAAAAACAUUUAUAAGAUCUUUCCGUUUGA
Molecule: non-coding RNA, 260 nt
Organism: Cinara cedri
Lineage: Eukaryota; Metazoa; Arthropoda; Insecta; Hemiptera; Aphididae
Source: the annotation of a GenBank genome assembly